RNAcentral lists this long non-coding RNA (444 nucleotides) under Phascolarctos cinereus (koala). RNAcentral's name for it is "lncRNA (ENSPCIG00000033125.1)". The record is from RNAcentral. Lineage: Eukaryota; Metazoa; Chordata; Mammalia; Diprotodontia; Phascolarctidae.
CGUCCCCACGAGCGCGCGGAGUGGCGUGGACCUGAUUCCCGCCCAAGCCUCUUCCCUGGAGCCGGGUCUUCCUCGCUGGCUCGCUGUCGCUCCUCAGUUCACUCCCUGCACGAGCCGGGGACUGGGGUCUUUGCGUGGACGUCCUCAUGGGGGAUGCGCUCUAAUCGAUUAUGAACCUGAUCAGCAACAAGUUUUUGUAUGCAGGCUGGAUAAGCCUCACCCCCUCUCUACCCCAGCCCCAGGAAUGUUGUGAAGGACAUUCUUCUUCAGGCCCCCAGCUCCCGUGAUUAAAUGCAAAGAUGAGUGAUUCAGACAGCAAAUCCAGGAAUUCAGAAAAAGAAAACUAUAGUAACCUUGAAUCAUCAAAGAUUUCAUAAGAAUGGAGGACUUGAAUGGAACCUUGAAGAAAUUUAAUAAACAAUUCAUUUACAUAGAUAUUUAUCA